This 572-nucleotide long non-coding RNA is filed under the name Crocodylus porosus (Australian saltwater crocodile). Its description in RNAcentral is "lncRNA (ENSCPRG00005017625.1)". The record is from RNAcentral. Lineage: Eukaryota; Metazoa; Chordata; Crocodylia; Crocodylidae.
CUGCAACUCCCUGAACUUCUAUUUGCCCGCUCAUCUGACCCAGGUGGGAACCACUCACAUCUUGGAGCUUCCAGGUUUAGAUGUUAUCUCCGCUCAGAACGGUUUCCUCCUAAAUUAAACAGACUGGUGAAGAUAUGAGAAGCAUCUUGAGCCAAAUAUAUACAGAUUUGUACACAGAAGCCUUCUGAUCCCCGAGCAACCCACAGUAAAAUCUUGUCACAACGGAAUAAUAAACAUUUAUCAUAUUUUUCAACUUUCCAAAGUUCGUAGUGUACCAAGACAAUUGCAACUGGCUCUCUUCGUUUGUCUCUCAGAUGCAGAAAGCAACAGCACAAUAUUGUGCCAUAAUGAAUUCUUCAUCAUGAUUGAAAAAGUGCAAAAGGGAAACAUGUUUAAUAGGCUGAAAAAUAAGAAAGACCAGCUAAUGGAAGAGAGCCACCAGAUCUCGUUCUUAGAGAGAAGCACUCUUGCAUCAUACCGUCUGUUGGGAGGGAGAGAUGUGGAGACACAACGGAACGACGUUGAAUGUUUUCUGUGUGUGUGUGCAUGCGCACACGUGAGUGAGACCCGAU